RNAcentral lists this transfer RNA (83 nucleotides) under Spirochaetaceae bacterium. RNAcentral describes it as "tRNA-Leu". It matches the Rfam family "tRNA". From Rfam's summary of the family: Transfer RNA (tRNA) molecules are approximately 80 nucleotides in length. Their secondary structure includes four short double-helical elements and three loops (D, anti-codon, and T loops). Further hydrogen bonds mediate the characteristic L-shaped molecular structure. tRNAs have two regions of fundamental functional importance: the anti-codon, which is responsible for specific mRNA codon recognition, and the 3' end, to which the tRNAs corresponding amino acid is attached (by aminoacyl-tRNA synthetases). tRNAs cope with the degeneracy of the genetic code in two manners: having more than one tRNA (with a specific anti-codon) for a particular amino acid; and 'wobble' base-pairing, i.e. permitting non-standard base-pairing at the 3rd anti-codon position. The record is from RNAcentral. Lineage: Bacteria; Pseudomonadati; Spirochaetota; Spirochaetia; Spirochaetales; Spirochaetaceae.
GCCGGAGUGGCGGAAUGGUAGACGCAGGGGACUUAAAAUCCCCUUGGGGUAACCCAGUGUGAGUUCGAGUCUCAUCUCCGGUA